Molecule: ribosomal RNA, 897 nt
Filed under: Providencia rettgeri
Lineage: Bacteria; Pseudomonadati; Pseudomonadota; Gammaproteobacteria; Enterobacterales; Morganellaceae
Description: partial 23S ribosomal RNA
Rfam family: Bacterial large subunit ribosomal RNA
Source: RNAcentral
UUCGACUAGGGGGUCAUCCCGACUUACCAACUCGAUGCAAACUACGAAUACCGAAGAAUGUUAUCACGGGAGACACACGGCGGGUGCUAACGUUCGUCGUGAAGAGGGAAACAACCCAGACCGCCAGCUAAGGUCCCAAAGUCAUAGUUAAGUGGGAAACGAAGUGGGAAGGCUCAGACAGCCAGGAUGUUGGCUUAGAAGCAGCCAUCAUUUAAAGAAAGCGUAAUAGCUCACUGGUCGAGUCGGCCUGCGCGGAAGAUGUAACGGGGCUAAACUAUGCACCGAAGCUGCGGCAGCGAACGUAUCACUUAAACUGAUUAAGUGAUACUCAAAUGUAUCAAAACGAUUGACGGAGCGAAGCGACGUCAAUGCGUCCAACAAAGUCGAGGCGGAAACGUCAGGCAGUCAGUUUAAGGAUACGUUCGUUGGGUAGGGGAGCGUUCUGUAAGCCUGUGAAGGUGUGCUGUGAGGCAUGCUGGAGGUAUCAGAAGUGCGAAUGCUGACAUAAGUAACGAUAAUGCGGGUGAAAAACCCGCACGCCGGAAGACCAAGGGUUCCUGUCCAACGUUAAUCGGGGCAGGGUGAGUCGACCCCUAAGGCGAGGCAGAAAUGCGUAGUCGAUGGGAAACGGGUUAAUAUUCCCGUACUGGUGAUAAUUGCGAUGGGGGGACGGAGAAGGCUAGGCUAUCCGGGCGACGGUUGUCCCGGUUUAAGGAUGUAGGCAGGUGAAUUAGGCAAAUCCGGUUCACUAUAUGCUGAGGUCCGACGACGAGUCACUACGGUGAUGAAGUAGCUCAUGCCCCGCUUCCAGGAAAAGCCUCUAAGCUCUAGAUUAUCAUUAAUCGUACCCCAAACCGACACAGGUGGUCAGGUAGAGAAUACUCAGGCGCUUGAGAG